Molecule: ribosomal RNA, 305 nt
Filed under: uncultured bacterium
Lineage: Bacteria
Description: bacterial SSU rRNA
Rfam family: Bacterial small subunit ribosomal RNA
Source: RNAcentral
CCUACGGGAGGCAGCAGUGAGGAAUAUUGGUCAAUGGGCGGGAGCCUGAACCAGCCAAGUCGCGUGAAGGAAGAAGGUACUUAGUAUUGUAAACUUCUUUUGUCGGGGAACAAAGGCGGAGACGCGUCUCCGGAUGAGUGUACCCGAAGAGAAAGCAUCGGCUAACUCCGUGCCAGCAGCCGCGGUAAUACGGAGGAUGCGAGCGUUAUCCGGAUUUAUUGGGUUUAAAGGGUGCGUAGGCGGCCUUUUAAGUCAGCGGUGAAAGUCUGUGGCUCAACCAUAGAAUUGCCGUUGAAACUGGGAGG